GGUGGGGCCGGGUUAAAGAGCGCCGCGUCACGUCCGGGAGACUUAGAGCCCGAGCGGAGGCGGCGCGGAGCGUUUCGGUUCUCAGCGGCUGGGGAACCGGUGUGUGGUGUGAGGCUGCGGCGGAGCCUCUACACUGAAGGCGCGAGAGGUUGGCAGCUUCGAUUGAAGCACAUCGAGCGGCGACAGCAGUGGAAGUCAUGAGCGACAGCGGCGAGCAGAACUACGGCGAGCGGGUUAAUGUUGAAGAAGGAAAAUGCGGAAGUCGUCAUUUGACAAGUUUUAUAAAUGAGUAUUUGAAGCUCAGGAAUAAGUGAAGCUGAAAUUUGAAAAAAUAAAAGAAAGAAUGCAUGCUAAUUAUCAGACCAGAAGUCCCACUUGUAGAAUAUUGAGCAAUUUGUGUGAAGUGGGGAAGAUGAAAGAAGUCAGAAUUUGAAACGGAAGAAUGAAGAAAAGAAAUAAAAAUGAAGUUAAGAUAAGAAGUAAUCUGGAAUCAGAAAGCACUACGCUAAGUAAUUACUAGUCUGUUUAUGUGUCCCUGUAUAUUUUGCUAAACAUGCAUGCAUUAUUUGUUUAAUAGAAGAAAUAUAUACAGGGUAAAGAAGUGCCUUCCAGGGGAAACGUUUAAAUUAGGUAAUUCUAAUUUUAACUUCUUAGUGAACUGACUGAAAUGCAACUUUUAAAAAAAUAAUCCUUUGUAGUCAAAUAGGAGGCAGGAAUGAGCUCUCCGAUUUGGGUAACAGCCGGCUUCAUGUUGUCUCCUGGAUUUUUCAUCUCUGACAUUGCUGGUCCUGGGGCGUGAGUACUUCCAGAAUUGAAGUAGGUGGUCUAGGCCACCCUCUCUGGACUCAAUGUACUGACCCCUAUCCUUCAGUACAGCUCAGUAUAAGGAGAAUGUUGUAAGUUUGUCAAAGUUUUCCUAAAGAAUGUUACCAGGAUGGUUAUAGAACCAAACCCCCAAAAUCCAUUGGACAGGAUCCUUCCUUUUGGCAUUUAUGAAAAAAUGAAUUUCUUUUUAUAUGGCAAUAGUGGAAAACUAUGACCAUUUAGGCCCUAACUUUAAGAUGCAUGUGUGCUAAAUUCGCAAGAUAUUUCUUAAUUCUUUGUUUAAUGCUUAUUCCAGCUGAAUGACUGGGGUUACUGCUAAAAAGUUGUAGGGGCUUCCCUUAGAAUGAGACAGGUCAUAUAAGUGAACAGGAUACCUAACUCAACAGUGGCAGUAACAGUAAGUGCCUUAUUCCCUUUUCUCAAUUUCUGCUAUUAACUUAACUGUUAAAAUGGUGUGAGAGAUAACAGAUCAUAAAGUAGCUUUGUUUCUGGUUCUCUACUCCUACCACUUACUGGAAAAAUAGACCCAAAAGUUCUGUCAUUUCCCUUUUCUGUAUGCUUGUUUUAACUGAACAGAAGAGUCAAAUGAUUGGUGCAGUGUUGUUACUUUCAGUUGGAUGGGGAAAGUUCAUGUGUCAAAAUAAUACCCAGUAGUAGGCAACCAACAGAUAGCUUCUACUCUAUCAGGAAAACUAAGGCUAUCACUUUACCCUGAAAUUAAGAUUGCCUAAAAUUAGAGUUUUUGAACCUCAUAACUCUUGGGGCAGUGUCUUAAAUGACUUUUUAGAGGGAUUCAUUUUCUGAUACUUCAGGGCCUAUUUGUGUCAAAUUUGUGCUUUUUCAAUUCUGUAUCUUGCAAGCAGAAGAUUACACCCAUUUAUAGUUUCCAUCAUUUGCCCUGAUAAUUACUUUGUAGAAUAUGCCACAUAUAAACUAAUAACACUAAAUUGGUAGUGUUAGUUUUGCAUUCUGAAUUACUUACACAUUAGGCUGAGGCAAGUGAUGUGAAUGGAUAUUGUGUCUUUAUUCAAGCUCAUUGAUUCUUUAUCAGGAGACCUGAAAAGUCCUUGGCGUCUGAAAGAGAAAGUAUCUGUUAGUCUUGUAAGGGGAAGAAGCAUUUUGGAGUUUGUUUAUAUGGCAAAAGCUGGAAAGGUGUAAAGCAAAAGUAAACAUUGAUGCUAGUGGCCCAUCUCAUCCAUUCAGGUUUCUGCCCCCCUUUGGCCAAAGCAUCUUUGAGUCUGAGUGUGCCUCUCUCCACCUCCUGCCUGCGUAGUAGCCGGAAACAGACCUCUUGUCCUGGGGCAAAGCGUAAGGUACAUGCCCUCAGGAUGGCUAACAAAUGACAGGGUGGGGAGGUGGGGGCAGAGAAGGUGACAGAAAACAGGGUUUCAGGAAAAUGUUGAAAAAAACAAAUAAGCAUAAAACUUGAAAUUAGUCAGUGAGACUUAAAUAAGCAUCACAAAUAUGUAUGGUGUUUUUUAAGAAAUGCAGAUGCCCAACUCCAGACCUACUAAAAUAAGCUCUAGUUGGGGAUCUAUUUUUAAAUGCUCAGUAGACUUAAUAUAUAUCUGUAAGAGCCUUUGUUGAAGAUCUACUUUAUUGCAUCUAGCUUUUAAAAUAUGUGAGAAACCUAGCAAUUGGAUGGUUAUUCCUACUUCUUUCAUCUCUUUCAAAAAGUUUUUUUAAGAUUCUGUCAUUCUCAGAAUAGGGAGAUACUGGCUGGUAUUUUGUUGGAAGGCUGAGUUUGUUUCUCCCUGAUGUGUUCCCUAUUGAUUAGUACAUGACUAAGAUUCAGUUUGUAAGAAUUUGAUUCCCUGUGUGGUUUUCAGGGAAUUUUUGGUUGUGUGGUUCAUGCUAACUUUACAUUUAUGAUCCUUUCCCUUGAGGUAUUGGUAGGGUUUUAAUGUGUUAGCAUUGAAGAGUUGUGAGCCCUGAAAGUGGUCUUUGAAUUUUUUUCGUGUUCAGGGGCUUUUCUAGCUGAUUUUACAGAUGUAACCAUGGACCAAGGUUUAAAGCUAACUUUGUGCUUCUAGAUUUGGCCUUCUAGACAGGCUAAAUAUCCUUGCAUAUAUUUCCAAACCAAUUAAUAGCCAACAUAAUUGCAAAAGGGUUUAUUUAACUUUAAGACUAUCUCUGAUAUGAAAGGUAGGCGGUAGAGAUAGUGUUUCUGUGUUAGCCUAACAACUGUCAGUACAGAAGACUUAGUGUUCCAGUGGUUUCUCCUAUUACUGUUCUGAGAAAUGAUUGUUCAUAAAAUACAUCUGCAUAUAGCCAAUUAGUUUUAGAGGUUGAGUGAAAAGUCUUAUAAUUUCACAAAUACUGUUUUUUUUGACCCUUGAUCUGCUAGAAACCUCAUUAAAGUUUAUUCUGAGGCUAUAAGGACUUUCUUUUCCUUCUUGGUGAACAGAUUGGUAAAGCACCUUAGCUUAGAAUAAGACUUUUCUGUUUUACUGAAGCAAGAGGCUUAAAAGAGGAUCUUGACUUUCUACUCUUUUUUUCCAGAUCCCUAGACGAACUGAUUUCUGAUAACUAUAGUUAUUUUAUUGGUAAUCUUUUAACUCUUACUGUGAGGCACCCAUAUUCUCUCCCUUCUAGAGCAGAUUGCUUUCUUUUGUUUCCACUAAAUGUCAUAGUCUUUCCAUAAAGUCAUCUUUCUAGCAUUGGAAUAAGCAAAGGUGUUAGAAUCCCUCUUUCUACCUUAUCUUCUAGAUUAGUUUUUGCCUGUUGAAUGAUUGCAGAAACUGCAUCCCCAAUUUGAGAACCUCUUUAUCCCAGGAGAAGAGAAUUGUGCUUUUAAAUGUCCAGAAUAUUUGCCAGAGAAAGUCAAGGGAUUGUUAGUUGGGGUCCUCAAAGCAAAGCCGUAGUGCUUUCAUCAUUCCUUGAGGAUAAAAGUAGCUAUUUUCACUAAUAAUUGCGGGUGUCAUCUUUUACUUUGACUCUCUUCAUUAACUCAUGGCAGGAAGGGAGAGUAGCCAUGUUUCAUGCCAGUUCAUACAAUGUGUGACUUUGAAAUUUAGUCAUUUGGGGUAUAGAGACCAGAAUUCAUUUUGCCCACUGAGUUACUUUAAGCCUUGUUUUUUCUGUAUUGCAUGUAAGUUUUGUCCUUAAGCAUCAUAGGAAAGAUCUUCCAAAUUUUCUCCACUGUUCUCUUAAGUCACAGAACGUAUUCCAAAAUGUUUUGGGCUGUGUUUUAGAUGAAUUUUCUACCUUUAUCUUUUUAAGAAUGGCUGGAGUGUUUUAUUCUGAAAGUCUGCCACAAAGGGAGGUCUCUUGUGAUAAAGUUUUAUGCCACUUCAACAUUGUUACCCCUACAGUGACUUAACUGUAAUAUUGAUUCCUUUUGAGUCUAGCAUUUUUAUUCUGUGUUGGGCAGGAAGAUUAUGAGAUUAAUGCUUUUAAAUUUGAUGAAGGUGGAUAACCUGAAAUGUUGUUUUGUUUGAUAGCUUGGUUAGUUGUCAGACUGAGUUAAUUGUUGUCUUUUCCACCAUUUCUAUUUUGGUGUCUUGGCAGAGCAUUCCUUUAGCUUUUUUCUCUAAUUAUAUGUCUUUGGUUCACCAAACUAGUUAUCCUGUUUACCCAUUUCUUUGCUAUUUCCUUUGAGAGAUUUUGUUUUUGUACAGCCUACCUACCAGCUAGUCACAGUUAGGAUAGGAGAAAGCUUAGGUAUAAAGUAUAUAUCUAGAUGUUGUUUUUUACAUGCAGUUCCUGAACUUCCCUUCCUGAACCUAGAUUAAGAGCUUGUGAUCUAAACUGUUUCAGUUUUAAUAUGUCCUUUUUGUACGUAACUUUUCUAACUGCUUAUUCCCAGUUUCCCAUCCAUUGGCCCUGGCUCAUCUACACUUAGCUGAGGAAAAUCUCUGGUACCCUCUUAAUUCUUACCUCUGCAGUUCAUUCACCGUCUUUUGACUGUAGCUUCAUCUGGUUGCUUUGAGAUCCAUAAGGGCUUCCUACAUAGUUGGAUGGACAGGGUCUACAGAUCUAGUCUCCUUCAAGCUGCUCCUUGUUCUCUAGGUUUCUGUCUUCCUCUGUGACUUGAAACAGUACUGUCCUUGUCUUUUUUCUCCACUCAGCAAUAAAUGUUGAAAAUAAAGUAAAUUUUACAAAUUUCAUAGGGUUUUUUUUUUUUAAUUGAUGGCAGUUUGACUGAAAUAAUAGGUAUGAAGUAUAGGUGUCAUAGUUAAUAAGGUUCUUUCUCACCCCAGUCUUUACGGAGUAACAUUCCCAAAACAAUCCUUGGGCAGUUCCCUUAACUGCUUGGCUUUGGCACCCAUUUCUGAAGAGUGGGGUCAGUUAACUCUUAUCCCUGCUCCCCAAGAAAGGUGGAAGUUCAAGUUAAUUGGCUUAUGUCAAUUGGAGCAACGUAACUAUUAUACCAGGUAUAUUCAGUUCUGCCCUUACCUAUGUUUUCUUAUCUUGGAAGGGGAUUGCUUUCCCUCACCAUUUAUCUCACCACAGCUUAUUUGUUUUUAAAGUUGCCCAGAAAGUAUACAAAUUAAACUUUUGACAUCUACGUGUAGGAAUCCCGUUCUGCUUCCAGAAGUGGAAGUGCUCAUGGAUCUGGGAAAUCUGCAAGGCAUACCCCUGCAAGGUCUCGCUCCAAGGAAGAUUCCAGGCGUUCCAGAUCAAAGUCCAGGUCCAGAUCUGAAUCUAGGUCUAGAUCCAGAAGAAGUUCUCGGAGGCAUUAUACAAGGUCACGAUCUCGGUCCCGGUCCCAUAGAAGAUCUCGUAGCAGAUCUUACAGCAGAGAUUAUCGAAGACGGCAUAGCCACAGUCAUUCUCCCAUGUCUACUCGCCGGCGUCAUGUUGGGAAUCGGGUAAGAUGAAAACAAUUGUUUCUGAAGCAGUGAACACUGUAUGAAGCCACUUUAUAGUUAACGUAUAAUAUAUUCUCCUCUGUAUUUGGUGUUUUGUUCUGUAAUAAUUUAAAACUGAUAACUUUUGAUGGUGGAGCUUUAGCCUGAUUUUUCUCUAGAGCCUUUUCAGUGUUGGGAGAUUUUUUUCUUUUUAAAAGUUAUUUCCCACAUAUGGUCUACAUUUGAGCUGUUGAUCACAUUUGAGAUAACCGUCACAUUAACAGCACAUCAAAUAAAUUCUUUGCAUUACGGUUAAUAUAGUUAGAUCAUAUAUCUAUGUUCCAUACUAUUGUUCAAGUUAUCUGGGUUUAAUAUGCUUUAAAAUACGCUAUGAUUUUCCCAUUUAGUUUUAAGCAGGUUUCUUUCCAGUUUUAAAGCUUUGCUUGUCUUCCAUGAGAAGUUACAAAUGAGAUGGCAUUUAGUGUGUUCCUGUUAUGGGUUUAUUGAAUAAUAUACAAGUAGACCUAUAGGGAGUGUAUGUUUUUGAAAGUGGGGUGGAAUUUAACUAUAAAAUGUAUGUGUGAAGUAGUGAAACCUUUAAGCAAACUCAACGGCAACUGGGAUGUCAGCAACAUUUAGUUUAUAAAUAAAAUUUAUUCAGUUUAUAAUAGUUGACGCUGCUUAAUAUGUUUUUAAAAAGUUUGGUAUCCAUCUGUGGUUUCACUAGUACGUAUAUUUGAACACCUAUGAUUUUUCUAUAGAAAUGAAGCUAAAUGUACUUCUGUAUCUCGUCGGCAGUUUAGAGCCUCCUAUUGUGUGAAUGGUAUAUCUUAGUUCACCAUCUUGAAGUUUUACCUCUCCUCUUGCCCCGGCUUAUAGAGACAGUAGUUCUCUGCAUAUGUGCUUGUGGUGCUAAUGUAACAUUACUUUUAAAAUACUUUUAUUUCAUUGUUAUCUUUUCAUAUUAGUGACAGUUCUUUGGGGGGGAAAUUGAUCUGUGAUGCUUUUUAAGUUUUUUUUUUUUAAUCUAUUUUUCUAUUUCUAGGCAAAUCCUGAUC
Capra hircus (goat) is the source of this 6676-nucleotide long non-coding RNA. RefSeq lists it as uncharacterized. NCBI's taxonomy places the organism in Eukaryota, Metazoa, Chordata, Mammalia, Artiodactyla, Bovidae. The transcript is spliced from 3 exons. The record is from RefSeq and is a predicted model, not a curated record.